Molecule: ribosomal RNA, 757 nt
Filed under: uncultured bacterium
Lineage: Bacteria
Description: bacterial SSU rRNA
Rfam family: Bacterial small subunit ribosomal RNA
Source: RNAcentral
UAGAGUUUGAUCCUGGCUCAGAUUGAACGCUGGCGGAUGCUUUACACAUGCAAGUCGAGCGGCAGCGCGGUCUUCGGACUGGCGGCGAGCGGCGAACGGGUGAGUAAUACAUCGGAACAUGCCCAGUCGUGGGGGAUAACACUUCGAAAGAAGUGCUAAUACCGCAUACGUCCUGAGGGAGAAAGCGGGGGAUCGCAAGACCUCGCGCGAUUGGAGUGGCCGAUGUCAGAUUAGCUAGUUGGUGGGGUAAAGGCCUACCAAGGCAACGAUCUGUAGCUGGUCUGAGAGGAUGAUCAGCCACACUGGGACUGAGACACGGCCCAGACUCCUACGGGAGGCAGCAGUGGGGAAUUUUGGACAAUGGGGGCAACCCUGAUCCAGCCAUUCCGCGUGAGUGAAGAAGGCCUUCGGGUUGUAAAGCUCUUUCGGCAGGAACGAAACGGCGAGCUCUAACAUAGCUCGCUAAUGACGGUACCUGAAGAAGAAGCACCGGCUAACUACGUGCCAGCAGCCGCGGUAAUACGUAGGGUGCGAGCGUUAACCGGAAUUACUGGGCGUAAAGCGUGCGCAGGCGGUUGUGUAAGACAGGUGUGAAAUCCCCGGGCUUAACCUGGGAACUGCGCUUGUGACUGCACGGCUAGAGUAUGGCAGAGGGGGGUGGAAUUCCACGUGUAGCAGUGAAAUGCGUAGAGAUGUGGAGGAACACUGAUGGCGAAGGCAGCCCCCUGGGCCAAUACUGACGCUCAUGCACGAGAGC